This is a long non-coding RNA of Uranotaenia lowii, 1409 nucleotides long. RefSeq lists it as uncharacterized. The record is from RefSeq and is a predicted model, not a curated record. Lineage: Eukaryota; Metazoa; Arthropoda; Insecta; Diptera; Culicidae. The transcript is spliced from 4 exons.
AUUGGGAGAGCAUAUAAAAAAUAAAUAAUUUGUUAAAUUGUGACACACUAAUGUUAAAUAAAAUGAGAUCGUCUUGAAAACAUCAAUGAAUAGACUCAUUGAGAGGUUCCGUUCAAAAUGAUGGAAAAGAAAUCAAAAAGGAUAAUGAACUCGAGAACUUAGAGGAAUUACUGCGAUGAACUAGCUUGAUGAGGAAAAGAGAAAAGAGUUCGGAAAAGGGAUAGUCUUGAGUCAGUUUAUAGAGAGAGCUUGAAAAGAAAGUUUGCAGAAAGCAUUUUUAUUGUUUAGAAUAUCCGACUAAAUAAGUAAAAUGUGGAUAUUUGUUGAGGAAAAAGUGAUCGGAUACGACACCUGUUUUGCCGUGUAUGCAAAAGGACCCACACGGAAAAAUUGAGUUAUUCAUAAAAUGUGUUGAGAAUACACCUGCAUUGAGACUAAUCGAUUGGUGCUCAAAAUUUGUAUAUCGCCAAUUCAAUUUUGAGUAGAUUUGGGUUGCCAAUAUACAAAUGAAAACUAAAUCACGAUUACGCAGCUCUGUAUAAAACGUUUGUUGUUGUUGGGAUUCUAUUUGAAGGGAUGUCUCAUGUGAAAAAAAGAAAAAUCGCGUUAGCUUUUUAACGGGGGUUAAGAAACAUUCAAAUUUUUUUGACUAAAAUGGUCUGUUUGUUGAUGAAUGUGAUGAUUUUUAACUUGUCUUUCGCAGAUAACGUUGAUUCUGGUCAUUUGUGCUUCGGAAAUCCAACGGUACGAAGCGUACAGAAACUUCCGGAACAGGGAGACAUUGUUUGAAAAAGAGCUGAUAUGGUCUUCCCGGACAGCCAUUUAAUCAGAUGGAACAAAUCAGAUCAUAAAUAUGAAUAGGCAAAUGGGCUCGGCCGUUGUCGAAAAAUUGAAUCCCGUCGCAAAUCAACAGAAGGACCAUCACAUAACGAAGAAGGUGAACAAAAAAAGAAUGACCCGGCAAAGAAAAUGGUACCAGGGAAUAUUUCACUCCAGCCAUAUGAUCAGAGUAGAUGUCGGACUUACAGCUUUGGAACGAAAUAGCAAGAGCUCAAGACUUGAUACGUAAAAUACUUGGCACAAGAAAAAGAACUACUGAUUGGAGCAUUCCGUUGUGUUCAAUCGAGCUACCGAGAAAACAGGGGUUAAUAUUAUCUUUUUGUACAUGGACUACUCCGAAACGCCGGAUGCUUACUUUUAUUUGUGGCACUACAACACCCCAUUGAAGAACCUGGGUGAGCUGAGAGAACGGCACGUAUACAUUUUUUUUCCUAUCUGUGCUCUGGAAACGGUCCGAGGUUGUGGUUGGUGAGAAUCUGAUGCUAAAGCCUCGUUUCCCAUUCCAGUGUAGUUCGGACACUGCUUGUAGGCGCCGAGUGGUCACAUGUGCGACAUUUCGCUUUUUUUCU